CGGCCCGCGGCUAUUUCUGGGAAGACAGGUGGCUUCGGCCAGAAAUAGAGCAGGAAAUGCUACUGCAACACGCGGAAGGGGGGGAGCUGAAAGAAUCUGGAGGGGUCGGAAAGCUGGGUGGGAUGGAGAGUGGUCUGCAACGGUGCAGGGCUGGAUGGAGCAGGGUGUCGGGGUACAUAGGGGCAGGGCUCGGAAGGAGGUAGGACGGGAUGGAGCAGGAUAUGGGGGUACACAGGGGCAGGAUUGAGCAGGGUUUUAAGGUAAAUGUGGCAGGAUGGAGCAGGGUGUGGGGCAUAUGGGGCUGGGUAUGAGGGACAGGGGGACAGGAAGGAGCAGGGUAUUUGGGGGUGUAUAGGGGCAUACUUUGGGGGUCCAUGGAGCAGGAUGGACUGGGGUACAAGCGAAUAGGACACAGUGGGGUACAGGCUGUGCUCAUGUGGGGGAUGAAGGGCAUGGGGUGCUGCUGAUGCCCCCGAGGGUGGUGAUGGCCAGGUGCUCCAAGGCCCCGGUGAUGGGUGGCUGUCCACAGUGGCCGGGGGUGAAGACUGCCUGUGGUACGUGGACAGAAACGGGUCAUGGCACCCCGGCUUCGACUGCGAGUUCUUCACCUUCUGCUGCGGCACGUGCCACCAGCGGUACUGCUGCCGAGACCCUCUGCGCCUGCUCACCGAGCGCCAGCAGCGCCACUGUCUUGCCUUCAGCCCCAAGACCAUCGCGGGCAUCGCCUCAGCCGUGGUGCUCUUCAUCGCCAUCGUCACCACCAUCGUCUGCUGCUUCAUGUGCUCCUGCUGCUACUUGUACCAGCGCCGGCAGCACUCCCGCACCCCCCUACAAGGUGUGGGGCUGGGGGGGCAGGGAUGAGGGUGCAGGAGGAGGAGGGGGGUCCUGUAGGAAAAAGGGUUGGAGCAG
RNAcentral lists this long non-coding RNA (909 nucleotides) under Cyanistes caeruleus (blue tit). Its description in RNAcentral is "lncRNA (ENSCCEG00000005809.1)". The record is from RNAcentral. Lineage: Eukaryota; Metazoa; Chordata; Aves; Passeriformes; Paridae.